This 301-nucleotide long non-coding RNA is filed under the name Setaria italica (foxtail millet). RNAcentral's name for it is "long non-coding RNA (SITA_LNC001131)". Lineage: Eukaryota; Viridiplantae; Streptophyta; Magnoliopsida; Poales; Poaceae. The record is from RNAcentral.
UAGGAAUUGCCUGUUUACUUAUGUUGGAAUCAUAAGGAUUGACGGGCGGGGCUGGUCUAUAUGAUUCUGAAUUGGUGGAUUAUCCUUUUUGUCUAGUGGAAAAAUAUGCUAAGGUCGAACCAUGACAGUGAUUGUUGUGGUCAAGUGUUUGAAAGUACUAAUCUCAUACCUAGUAUGGGAUGGGGAAGUCUAGUACCUGAUUGAACUGGGACGUGGGCGUACCUCCCCACUAUCUCUGGAACUUGGUUCCCCUGCUGCAGCAUGUGGGUACAAGUGCAGUCACGGUACGACGAUGUUCCGG